AUUUAGGCGAGAGGUUGACAUGCACCAAUAGGCUUCUUUCUGAAAAGGAUAUGUAAUUUUCUCGAUCAACUGUUGUACUUUAGCCUUGAAAGCAUUGCAGUCUUCACUUGAGUGCCCUAUUAAGCCAUCAUGAUAUCCAUAUUGCACAUUGGAAUCAUACCUAGGUGGGUAUGGUUCUAGCAAUGGCCUGAGAUACUUGGGUUCUACCAGUGAGGUUUG
Molecule: long non-coding RNA, 219 nt
Filed under: Lathyrus oleraceus (garden pea)
Lineage: Eukaryota; Viridiplantae; Streptophyta; Magnoliopsida; Fabales; Fabaceae
Description: Pisum sativum (pea) long non-coding RNA (PSAT_LNC034256)
Source: RNAcentral